CCUACGGGUGGCAGCAGUGGGGAAUAUUGCACAAUGGGGGAAACCCUGAUGCAGCGACGCCGCGUGAGUGAAGAAGUAUUUCGGUAUGUAAAGCUCUAUCAGCAGGGAAGAAGAAAGACGGUACCUGACGAAGAAGCCCCGGCUAACUCCGUGCCAGCAGCCGCGGUAAGACGUAGGGGGCAAGCGUUAUCCGGAUUGACGGGGUGUAAAGGGAGCGGAGACGGCUGUGCAAGUCUGAAGUGAAAGCCCAGGGCUCAACCCUGGGACUGCUUUGGAAACUGUGGAGCUAGAGUGCUGGAGAGGUAAGUGGAAUUCCUCGUGUAGCGGUGCAAUGCGUAGAUAUUAGGAGGACCACCAGUGGCGACGGCGGCUUACUGGACAGUACCUGACGUUGAGGCUCGAACGCGUGGGGAGCAAACAGGAUUAGCUCCCCCAGUAGUC
RNAcentral lists this ribosomal RNA (441 nucleotides) under uncultured bacterium. Its description in RNAcentral is "partial 16S ribosomal RNA". It matches the Rfam family "Bacterial small subunit ribosomal RNA", at positions 338 to 795 of the family's 1533-position model. The record is from RNAcentral.